Molecule: transfer RNA, 66 nt
Filed under: Mus terricolor (Earth-colored mouse)
Lineage: Eukaryota; Metazoa; Chordata; Mammalia; Rodentia; Muridae
Description: tRNA-Pro
Source: RNAcentral
CAAGAAGUAGUUUAAUUAGAAUUCACCUUUGGGUCUGAUGGUCGGGCCUACAUUCCUUCUCCCUGC